GAACACCAGUGGCGAAGGCGACUUUCUGGACUGUAACUGACGCUGAGGUACGAAAGCGUGGGUAGCGAACAGGAUUAGAUACCCUGGUAGUCCACGCCGUAAACGAUGGAUACUAGGUGUAGGGGGUAUCGACCCCCCCUGUGCCGGAGUUAACGCAAUAAGUAUCCCGCCUGGGGAGUACGGUCGCAAGACUGAAACUCAAAGGAAUUGACGGGGGCCCGCACAAGCAGCGGAGCAUGUGGUUUAAUUCGAAGCAACGCGAAGAACCUUACCAGGGCUUGACAUCCCGAUGACCGGUACAGAGAUGUACCUUUCCUUCGGGGCAUUGGAGACAGGUGGUGCAUGGUUGUCGUCAGCUCGUGUCGUGAGAUGUUGGGUUAAGUCCCGCAACGAGCGCAACCCCUAUCCUUAGUUGCCAUCAGUUAAAGCUGGGCACUCUAAAGAGACUGCCGGGGAUAACUCGGAGGAAGGUGGGGAUGACGUCAAAUCAUCAUGCCCCUUAUGUCCUGGGCUACACACGUGCUACAAUGGCCUGUAACAGAGGGAAGCGAAGUCGUAAGGCGGAGCAAAACUCAGAAACCAGGUCCCAGUUCGGAUUGUGGGCUGCAACUCGCCCACAUGAAGUCG
This 627-nucleotide ribosomal RNA is filed under the name uncultured bacterium. RNAcentral describes it as "bacterial SSU rRNA". It matches the Rfam family "Bacterial small subunit ribosomal RNA", at positions 704 to 1328 of the family's 1533-position model. The record is from RNAcentral.